This 496-nucleotide long non-coding RNA is filed under the name Sorghum bicolor (sorghum). RNAcentral describes it as "long non-coding RNA (SBIC_LNC011496)". The record is from RNAcentral. Lineage: Eukaryota; Viridiplantae; Streptophyta; Magnoliopsida; Poales; Poaceae.
GUAGUUGUUGUAGUAGCAGAACUUGGUGUUGGUGGAGCGGCAGCGCGGGCACUCCAGCUGCUGCUGCUGCCUCGUCUGCCGGCCCUUGCGCACGGCCUCGUCGCCCUGCCAUGCCACCCACAACCGCACGCGUCAGUGAUGAUGAUGGGGUACUGGGUACACUGAUUCGCAGACGCGGUAACUGCAUGCCGUCUUCGGUGGAUCGAGAUCGACCGCGCUAGCUGCAACUGCAACUGACCUGCUGUUGGAGCGCGGAGGAGUCGAGCGAGAGCUCAGCGUCGGAAUCGGCCGGGCGCUUGGAAGCACCAGCGGCGGCGGCGGUGGCCGAGAGGAUCGAAGCUGCAGGCGCCAUCUCCCGGGCGAGCAGAACCGCGCAUGCCGAGGACGGACGACGGCGUCGGCGUCGGCUUAAUAGACGCCCAGCAGCGAUCCGGCCGAGAGCUAGCAGCUGGUCUCACUCACCACCUCGUUAGCUUCCCGGGUGACCUGGUAGGAG